Molecule: long non-coding RNA, 28472 nt
Filed under: Malus domestica (apple)
Lineage: Eukaryota; Viridiplantae; Streptophyta; Magnoliopsida; Rosales; Rosaceae
Description: long non-coding RNA (MDOM_LNC002114)
Source: RNAcentral
AUCAAUAUAAUGAAGGAAAGGACUUCGAGGUGGGAGAAGUUGUGGAGGAGGAAAAACCAUUAAUAAGAAAAAUGAUUAUAACCGCCUUGUGGUGUAUACAAUUGAAGCCAAGCGAUCGACCUUCAAUGAAGGAAGUCCUACAGAUGCUCGAAGGAGAUGUUGAAUUACUUCGAAUGCCUCCGGAGCCUCUUCUAUAUCCCAAGAGAUGCCCGUAGGUGCUCCUAAUGAUAAUCCGAAUCCAACAUAUUCGAAGGUGGAGUUAACAUCUUCUUUGACGGGUAGGUGAAGACACGCAACUAGCAUGGACUCUGUCAGUUUGAAUCUCAAUGCAAUGUUUCUGGUUUUGUAGUAGUACUGUGUGCAUGAUAAAACCCCCUUUCAUUGAUGUUAAAUAUGUUUAGUACAACAUAUUUUCAUGAUUCCAGGGAUAAAUAACAUAUUUCAUGGAGGACAUGUUGUAUGAUUCAUGAAGACGAUAUUUUCUAAUUUUUGUUCCAAGAAAUUAUUAGUUGUGAUGAUUGUUCGCUCGUGCUGAUAAUUCUGGUUCUAAUGGGCUCAUGCCGGCUGCUCUUACAUAUCUCCGGUUGUUAUUUGUCCGUGGAGGGAGGGACCUCCCUAGUCAAUAUCGAAAACAUUUUUUUUCUUGUGAAUACAACGAUAUAUUUACACUAAGGGGGAGUGGGUCGCCUAAGCCAUACAAUGGACAAUCUAAUUUGCUAUCCAAUUUGUCAUCUACAAGAUUUAAACUUAAGAUCUCUCACUUGCAAGUGAAGAGGAAUAUCAUCAUAUGUAGUAUUGAGUGGCAAUAUUCGAAACCUUUUAGUUGGGUGGCAAUAUUCGAAACCUUUUAGUUUGCCAAGUCAUUUCUUGGUUAGAAGUUUUUUAAGAAAGUUGAGGUUCCACCCCAAAAUCAAUUGGCAAUAUGAGAGUAGUCUAAUUACUUAUAAGUACAUGUAAGGUCCCUUCUUUCUCUAAUGUGGAAUUCACUUUCAAAAAAUAUUUUGUCUGAGAAUCCCUCCUUUUGUAUUUGAAAUGCUGCCUGCUCUGUACUGUGCAACCAGUUUAUAGCCUUGGUGGAGGACUUAGCCUUCUCAUUAUAAUUUCCUAUGAUACUUGAACGUAAUGUCUAUCACUUGCUGGAGCAUCAUUGUAAUUGUAAGCCAAAUGGAAGAUUUGUUGAUCACAGCCUUGGUGAAGAUAUUCAAUUCCUUUGGCAAAUGGCUAGAUCUUGCAUCCCAACCAAGAAAUUUGUUGUUAUUGUCUGCUGAUGAAAUGAAAUCAUGCAGUGAUCUAUUGAACAGCAGUUCGUCUAAAUCCAUAAACGCAGAAGCCAACCAAGGGAAUAGCAUGGUUGAUAUGACCCAUUGUUCCCCCUUUAUUUAUGAACUCUUCUCCAUCUCCCCUUCCAAUUGUAUAAUAUCAUAUGGUUUACCAUAUCGUAUUUCGGUCACAAGUGAGAUAAUUAAUCUCAAUUCGAACUUAGCGAUUAAUAUAAUGAUAAUUUUUUUUUCAUGAUCAGGAUUUUCAGCCUGGAGAGACAGUAAGAAGUUUGCCACACUGCCAUAACAUAUUUCACCUGCCUUGUAUAGAUAAGUGGCUCCUAGGGCAUGCCUCAUACCCUCUCUGCGUAAGGGAUUUGUGAAUGUGAUGAUCUUCUUGUAGAUUACCAAAUGAGUAAAAAGUUCAUUUAUUGAUUAUACAAAUUUUUUAUCCUUUUCAUUUGUAUUGGUAUUCACCAGACUGCUCUAGGAUGAGCAAAAUACUCAUAGGUUUGGGUAACCAUGUUUACCCGUCCAUUUAAAGUUCACGGUUAUGGUUAUGGGUAACCAUUUAGACGAACAAACGGUUAUGAGUAUAACCGUUUAUUUUUGAAAUUUAAAUGGGCUGUUAUGGAUAUUACCGACUGUUAUAAUGGGUAUCUAUUGGUUAUGGGUAUUAUCCACGAUUAUACGGGUAUCCAUUUACCUAUUUAAUUUAAUAUAUAUAAAAAUAAAAAUAAAAUUAUCGCAGGGAUUUUGAGGGGUUUUAGAAGUAGCUCCUAUCGCAGGGAUUUUGAGGGAUUUUAGAAGUAGGCUCUCUCUCUCUCUCUCUCUCUCUCUCUCUCUCUCUCUCUCUCUCUCUCUCUCUCUCUCUCUCUCUCUCUCUCUCUCUCUCCCUCUCCCUCCUCUGGUCCUGACCCUCUCCUUCCCAGCUCCACUGCAGGGAUUUUAAUUAUCACAGGGAUUUUGGGUAUGCUAAAAUUCUAAGUACAGGUUCAUGGUGUAGGCUCCGGCCAUGAACUCUUUCUUGCAAAGUGCAAAUGCAAUAACAACAUAUAUAUAUAUAUAUAUAAAUACAAAUUACACAAUAUAAUUAAUCAAUUAAAAUACACACAAUCAUCCAGUUGAUCUGGUCACCAUGUCUGUAUGUGCUAUCAAUAGAACAUUUGUGACUUGCCAUCUUGAUAGUUGAUACGAUGAUAUAUCACUUUGUGAAUAUGAUCUCGUAAACUAUCAUUUCAAUUAUUGAAAUUGUAUGAGGACUUGAAUGAUUAAAAUAUAGAAAUGCAUGCUAAAAUGUACCUAUAACGGUGCUUAAUUGUCAGAAAACGAAAAUUAUGAUAAAUUUUUCUUUUGUAAUUUUCAAGUUGUUAGAAAAAAAACAUGUAGACGGAUGAAAAAGGGUAAAUGGGUAAAAAAAAAGAAGGAUAAAUAGGUUCAAAAACGGGUAAUUGGUUAUGGUUAUGGUUAAAUGGGUAAAUGGUUAUGGUUAAAUAGGUACAUGGUUAUGGGUAUGGAUAACCAUUUAUAAACGGUUAUGGUUAUGGGUAUAACCGUUUAUGCAAUUAUCUAACAGAUAAAUGGUUAUGCGGGUAUGAAUAUAAACGGUUAUGGGUAAAUAACUACAGUUACCUACCCGCCAUAAUCGUUGCUCAUCCCUAGAUUGCUCCAGUAGCUGCAGGUUGGUUCAUUGGAACUGAUUAUUUUGGUUUUGGCACAAUCUGAUAUUUAAUGUGGUAGUAUGUGAUACUAAUAACACACUAUUUUUGAAACCGAAAACCAAAAUAAUUCACACUAUUUCUAGAACUACAACGAAAUAACCCUCACUAUUUCUGAAACUGAAUCAAAAUAAUCAUUGGAAACUACAAUAAAAUAACCCCCACUAUUUUUGAUACUUGUUGUAUUGAUGGUUUUGUUGGGUUUUUAGUUCUUUGAUGAUUUUUUAUUGUAAAUGGCUUCUCAUCAGAAAUUAUUAAACACCGGAUUUGCUAUUUUGGUUGCGUAGCUAUGCAGUUGCUCUCUCCAAUCCAUCUAUCAGUCCACUUGAUUGCUUGGAAUAAUUUGAAGGUAGUUAAUUAAAUUACUUUGCUUCUUUUUCGAUCGACUAUAUAUAUUAGUGCUAGUUGCCUUGGUUAAGACUUUGAACCAGGGUUGGAUGAAGUGAUGGAGGGAGGCAGACAAUGGUGACAUACGGUGGGGAUGGGCGGAGGGGUCGGAUGACGGGUCGUGGACUAAGAAAACGGUGCCCAUUAGUGCUCCCUUGCCUAAGACUUUAAGGGCCCUGACAGUCACCAGCGAGAUCGAGCUCCGGCGAGGUUGGAUGGUGAAUGCGGGGAUAUGGAAAAUGCAGAAAGUGAUUUAAAUUUUUUUUUAUUAUUAAUAUAAUUCUUGUCGAUUUUAUCCGACAGGAAAUGCUUUUAUUUGUUCAUUAGUAAUUUAUUCCUGUCGGUUUUAUCCGACAUGAAAUGGUUUUAUUUGUGCAUUUUUAAUUAAUUUCUGUCGAAUGGUUUAAUCAUUUUCUGUCGGUUUUAGCCGACAAAAAUAAUUUAUUUAUCCGACAUAAUUUCUGUCGAUUUUAGAGUAUUUUCUGUCGGAAAAUUAAUUUCCUGACGCAGGCAAUUCUGUCACUUAUUAUAUCCGCCACUGCAUCCAUUUUCUGUCAGAUUUUACUUAAAAUUCGACAUAAAUAUAUGUUUUUUGUCGGUUUUCAAAACGUCAUUAAUAACUGGUUUCCUAGUAGUGUCAGUUGGGCAUGGAACCGUUAAUUGUACAUCUCAAAUUUCACUUUCUUUGUAACCAUAAUUUCUGACAUUAAAGGAAAAACUGUACAAAUCAUUCUCACCACAUCCAGAAUUAGCCUACAAAUAACUCCAUAUUACACCGAUAAGUGUACCAGGGAUGGCCGUAAAUCCCAUCAUCCACUUUAGGAGAUUUUUUCUUAAACGACCAUUGGGGCAUAAUAUUUAAUUAUCACAUGGAAACAACUUUUUUUAUAAAGGAAAACUAAUGAAAAAGUCUUGAAAACUUUGAGUUUUAACGAUAAGGACAAAAUAAAGAGUAAAGUGAAUAGUAUAAGGAUUGACUUUUUAGUGUAAAAAUAUGGUUUUUCGUUAAAGUGAACAGUACCGGGAGUUUUUUGUUAAAGUUCUCUUUUUAUAAAGCAAGGGUAAGUUGCGUCCGUUAGAUAUUCACCUCGACCUUCGUAAAGCGAUGAACCUUGUUGGCUAAUUAAGCAUCAUAAUGAGCUAAUAAUAAUAUGGUUUAAAUUCACCUUCGGUGAGAAUCGAACAUAAGACCUCUCAAUUACAAAUGAAGAGGAAUACCACUAGACCGUAAUACUAAGUAACAAUUUUUGAGCAAUAUUAAACAUACUACAAUGUGUGUGUAUAUAUAUAUAUUAACAAACGAUAUUAUUUAUACUAAAGGGAGGGGUUAGACUUAACCUCAUAAUAAGCUAGCAAUAAUGUGGUUUAAAUUCUCAUUUAUCAAGAAUUGAACCUAUGACCUCUCAAUUACAAGUGAAAAAGAUUACCACUAAUUAUUCGGAUAUUAAAUAUACAAUGCACUUGUCCUAAAUUAAUUAAUAUAAGAGACCUUUUGAUAUAAUUGAUAAAAAAAAAAAAAAAGGUAGCCGAUCUGCGACGAUUCCUUUAUCUCUUUCCCCUAUCUGUGAAAUCCCAACCCUAGCCCCAAUUUCUGAAACUCUCCAUCUCUCUCCUCCAUGCCCUUUCUAUCUGCUUUCUCGGUUACUCCUGUUGUGGUUCAUGAUGUUGUUCAAGCCAACGUGUCUUUGACAGCUGUGAGUGGAUCGAAAUUCAGAAAUCUCAUAUCUACUUUCUGAGUGGCUCGCCUACUACUAUAUUAAGUGGGUCCUACAUAUAUUUUUAUUAGAAAAUUAGAUUUUAAUCCCUAAAUAAGAAGAAGUUUAGAAAAAUGUUUUAUACAAGAUUAAAAAUUGAUUUUAGUCCCUAGACUCUAUUUAAUGCCAACAAUUGUUUUUAAUGUCUCUUUUUUUAUUUAUAAUUUUAUGAAUUUAAAUUUUAUGAAAAUAUGAUAAAUUUUAAUUCUCAUUAUGGUAAACAUCUUAUAUAAGAAAAUAUUUUCGUAGAAAUUUUUCGGUACACUUAUGUUUUUGCAUAUUUUCUUAUCUGCCACUAAUUCAUUACAAUAUAUUUAGGUACGAACAUUUCGGUACACUGGGUUAGUAUAAUAUGUUUAGGUACAUACAUUUCAGUACACUAGUUUAGUAUAAUGUAUUUAGGUAUCAACAUUUCGGUACACUAGUUUAGUAUCAUAUAGUUAGGUACAAAAUUUUUGGUACACUUAUGUUUUUAUGUCACAUCCCGGCCCGAGUCCUCACCACAUCCCAAGCUCGACUUCACCGUAGCACUAUAUUGUCCACUUUGGGCAUCGACCAUACCCUUACGGUUUUGUCUCUGGGAACUCACACGAGAACUUUCCAAUGGGUCACCUAUCAUGGGAUUACUCUCGCGCGAACUCGCUUAACUUCGAAGUUCCAAUGGAACCCGAAGUCAGUGAGCUCCCAAAAGGUCUCAGGUAGAGAUGAGAAUAUAUAUAUAAGGCAUAGAUAAUCCACUCCCCUGGGCGAUGUGGGAUCUUACAAUCCACCCCCUUAGGGGCCCGACGUCCUCUUCGGCACACUUCCAGCCAAAGAUUGGCUCUGAUACCAAAUUGUCACAUCCCGGCCCAGGCCCCCACCACAUCCCAGAUUCGACUCCACCGUAGCACGAUAUUGUCUUCUUUGGGCCCCAACCACAUCAUCACGAUUUUGUUUUUGGGAGCUCACAUGAGAACUUCCAGUGGGUCACCCAUCAUGGGAUUGCUCUCAAGCAAACUCGCUUAACUUCAGAGUUUCUAUGGAACUCGAAGCCAGUGAGCUCCCAAAAGGUCUUGUGCUAGGUAGAGAUAAGAAUAUACAUAUAAGGCAUAGAUGAUCCACUCCCCUGAGUGAUGUGGGAUCUCACAUUUUACAUAUUUUCUUAUGUGUCACUAAUUCACUACAAUAUGUUUAGGUACGAGCAAUUCAGUAUACUAAUUUAGUAAAAUGUAUUAUGAUACAGACAUUUAGGUACACUAAUUAGAUAAGGUUAAAUACAAUUAAUGAAUUAAAAUGUGUAUAAUAAUAAAUUAAAAAAUUCAAUGUAAUAACAUUAAAUAAAGAAAAUUGUUAUUAGCACUCAAAAAAUCUCAUUCUAUACUACUUACAAAUGUAUUUAUCUUUCUAAUUAUGAAAGUUUGAAGUACCAAAUGAGAUUUUAGGAUGCUAAUAAUAAUUCCUUAAAUAAAUUAUCUAUUAUAUACAAAAACAAAAAUAUAAUAUGAAUUUGAAUUAGGUACACAUUAAGGGAUUAAAACCAAUAUUCAAUCUAAUACCAUAAUUUUAUUAAAUUUUAAUCUUCUUGAAAAUUUAAAGUUCAUAAACCCCUAUUUUUAUUCCUCCAAUGUUAGCAAACACUUCAAUCACUGGAAGAAGUGCAAUUCCAAUUUCUUACAUUCAAUUCCCCUUACGUAAACACGUUAUUAAUCAGGUCAACAUGCAAGGAGGAGGGAGAGUUUGAAAAGAAAAAAAAGGGACGGAAAAAAGAAAUGGGACAGAAAAAAUAGAGAGAAAAUGUCUUGAUGGAAAGAAGAAAAAAGAAAAAAAAACAAAGAGAAAGAGGAGAGAGAGAGAGAGAGUCUGAUUGAAGGAAGAAAAAUAAGAGAAAAAGAAGAGAAAAAAAAAAGGGAAAGGAAGAAAAGGGAAAGGAAGAGAGAGACAUAUGUAGAGAAGAAAAAGAGAGAAGGAAGAGAGAACAGGACCGAAAAAAAAAAAGAGAAAGGGACGGAAAAAAAAAGCAAAGAAAAAGGAGAGAAAAAGAGAGGGAAGAGAGGAGGGGACCAGAAAAAACAGAGAAAAGACGGAAAAAAAAAAGCAAAGAAAAAGGAGAGAGAAUCUGCUGGAAAGAAGAAAAAGAAGAGAUAAAAAUGAGAAAAAGGGGCGGACAAAAACAAAGAGAAAGGAAGCAAGAGAGAGAGAGAGAAUGAAGGAAAGAAGAAAAAGAAGAGAGAAGGACGAAAGAAAGGGAGGGGAAAAAGAGUUUGAUGGAAAGAAGGAAAAAAAAGAUGAGGAAGAGAGAAGGGGACGGGAAAAAAACAAAGAGAAAGGAAGAGAGAGUUUGAUGGAAUAAGAAAAAGAAGACAGAAGGAAGAGAGAAAGGACGGAAAAAAUGGGGAAAGGACGAGAGCAUGAUGGAAAGAAGAAAAAGAAGAGCUACGGUGCAUGGAAAAAAGAAAAAAACCAAAGAGAAAGAUGAGAGAGAGAGAGAGAGUCUGAUGGAAGGAAGAAAAAGAAGAGAAAAAGAGACAUAUGUAGAGAAGAAAAAGAGAGAAAGAAGAGAGAACAAAAAGAAGAGAAAAAGAGACAUAUGUAGAGAAGAAAAAGAGAGAAGGAAGAGAGAACAGGACCGAAAAAAAAAGGAUCGGAAAAAAAAAAGGAAAACUAAUAAAAAGGGAUUGAAAAUUUUGAGUUUUAAUGAUAAAGAUAAAAUAAAGGGUAAAUUGAAUAGUAUCAAGAUUGACUUUUUAGUGUAAAAAUGUGGUUUUUCGUUAAAGUGUAAAAAAAAAAGAACGGAAAAAAAAGGCAAAGAAAAAGGAGAGAGAAAAAGAGAGGGAAGAGAGAAGGGGACCAGAAAAAACAGAGAGAAAAGACGGAAAAAAAAAGCAAAGAAAAAGGAGAGAGAGAAUCUGCUGGAAAGAAGAAAAAGAAGAGAUAAGAAUGAGAAAAAGGGGCGGACAAAAACAAAGAGAAAGGAAGCAAGAGAGAGAGAGAGAGAGUGAAGGAAAGAAGAAAAAGAAGAGAGAAGGACGAAAGAAAGGGAGGGGAAAAAGAGAGAGAGAGUUUGAUGGAAAGAAGGAAAAAAAAAAGAUGAAGAAGAGAGAAGGGGACGGGUAAAAAACGAAGAGAAAGGAAGAGAGAGUUUGAUGGAAUAAGAAAAGAAGAGAGAAAGGACGGAAAAAAUGGGGGAAAGGACGAGAGCAUUAUGGAAAGAAGAAAAAGAAGAGCUACGGUGCAUGGACAUGAUGGUAUUAUUCCUGUGUCGCAUUUUUUUGGUCAUAAAAUAAUUUCUUUUGUUAAUUUGACGUAUACUCGUAUCAUGUUCUGUCAUAAUUCUGUGUCCGCAACCAUGCAUCAUAAAAGAACAAAGAAGGAAGAUAAAGGGAUGGAGGAAGGAAGAGUGAGAGAGAGACAGAGAACCGCUGCAGUUGUUCAGAAAGUGGUGGGUUGAGUUUUUAUUUUUGUGAAAUGAUUAGUUAAUAAAAUCUUUGAGAUUUAACAAAGAUUUAAUAUUUAUUGUUGGAGAUGCUCGAGUCAUCAGAAAUGGACAAUACUUAGUACUGACUGUUGAGUACCCAAAAUAUUGACCUAAUGACAUGCCUAGAAAUAUUAAAACAUCUUUCAUUUAAAGCUCUCCCCAAACAUUUGUGGUCUUGUUAACCAAACACCUAACUUUCAUCCUGAGCUCAUAACCAAACACCCAUCUUCUUCCUAUUUGUUUGAGUAAAUUAUAGUUGUGAUCCCUAAACUAUGACUGAACUAUGGUACCUCAAUUAAAAAUUUAUUAGUUUUGGUUCUUUAAUUUGACAAAAGGUGUAACAUUGGUCAUUCCAUGCUAACUAUUAAGUUUUCUGUCAAAAUGAUGACAUGGUAGGCACAUGGAACCCAUGAUUAAUAUUAUAAUAUGAAAAUUUAAAACAUAGAAAAUUAAAAAAAAAAAAAUCCUUUAUCUCCUUCACUAGUAACAAUGACGCCAACACCAAACCUUGUACUUAAUUUUCUCUAUCCUACAAACCUCGUACCCAAUUCCCUCUUCAAAAUCCAAUCAGAACUUUAAUACCAAAACUCAUCGCAAGCAUCAUACCCACCGCUACAUUUGGUGCAGGAUUGGUUAUAGAAUGCGACUGGAAUGUUGGGGGUGGGACUACGAUGGUGAAGGGUCGGUUGUGGCGUGCGGUUGAGAGAGAUAAAAAAGUGAGUGUUGCGAAUUGGGGAAGAUAGGGCUGGACACGGGUUGGGCCGGGCCCGAUUUUGAAAGGAUCAGACUAGACUCAGGUGCAAAAGAGACUGGCGGGGUCGGAGAUAACAUAUUUUAAUAAAGGAACCGGACCUAACCCGGCCUGGUUGAAAUGAGCUGGGGCCACAAGUCCUUUUUUUUUUUUUUUUUUUUUUUUGCGAAACUGCCACCUUCUUCGACAUCUCCACCUCCCUCCUCCAAGGCUAUGCCAUCCUCGCAAUCCUUGCAGCAAAAAUGCAGAGAAAAUUAGCAAAACCCAGAUUGGGGGUUGGGGCUAAAAGCUAAAAAUGCAUGAUUUGUGGAAAACCUAGCUGGGAUUAAGAACUUGAAGAAGAAGAAGCAGAAUGUUUGGGGAGAGAGAGGGAGUCCCGACCCUCUACGUCACCUACGACCACAACAUCCAUUCUGCCAACCCUUUUAGCCGACGCCACGAGCGAGUCCCGAUCAAGCCCUUCUACAACUCAAUGAACUCACCCAUCGAUUUCGUCCCUGCUGUCAACUUCCUUGACGACCGCUACUUCUCUGACGUUGACGAAAAGAUUGAGGCAAGGAGGGAGACGUUGAGCGGUCAAGCUCCCCGAUUUGAGAGGAAGGAGAUUGAGAAUCGACAGGAGAGGAAUGGGAAAAUGUUACAAACAAGCCGGUCCGGGUACCUUUUUUUUUAUACUUCUUGAACCGGCCCACCCCUAAAAUUUCAAAGCCCCGCCCUGCCCUGCCUUGUUUCUCUUUUUAAAAAUUAAAAACCAGCCCGUAUCCUCCUCGAACUGUAAUUACCCGCCCCAAACUGUGAUUACCUGCCCCGACCCACGGUUCAUGUACCUAUUUGCCCACCCCUAGGGGAAGAUGGAAGUAAGGCGUGAGGUAUGGUGGGACAACACCCAUCUCGAACAUUUCUUUUUAUUUUUUAUGCCAAUAGUUUAAAGUGUUUUGUUUCAAUUCUUAUAAGUGAAUAAUGUGAAUGCAAAUUUUCGCCGUUUCUUUUUUUGACAAAAAUGCACUUAUAAAAUAAUAACACAUAAGAUUAAGACCAAAAGCCUCACGCGCUUAGGUAGGCCUGGCUGGUGACAAUGCUGCUUAGGAUGGGGCAACUGUAGAUGAAGUGCAGGAGGUUGAUGUUGCUGAGAGAGAUGCGGCUGCUAAAGAUGUCCAAGUUGUUGAGGAGUAGUCUUUCUAGAUAAACUUUAGGAUUUACUGUCUUUUCCUUUCCUUUCCUUGAACUCUGUUGGCCUUCGUGCCAGUUUACCAAUUUGCUAGAAAUUAAUAAACUGUUUUUCUUCGCUUUACUUCAUUCUCAUCUUUUUGCCUUGCUUCAAACUUUUGCCGUAAAAUGAACAAUUGAGCAAGCUGCUUUGAACAAAGCAGUUAAGCACAUCUCCCUUGCUUUAGGAGCAACGUCCCAUUCAUUGCUCAAUAGUUUGGUUGACAAGUGAGAUCUCGCGGAAAUGUAAAAAAUCACUACAUAAAGAUUGUCUGUUGCAAUCUCCAAUAGUGUCAUACAUGUAAUCAUGAUUGCUCUGAGCACUCAACGAAAGAAACAUUUAGGGAAAAUUAUGUGAUGAUGUAGUUGAACCAUGUCUUAUUUUGGCACCAAUAAUCUGAGAGAUAUUCUUUUGUUUCUACUAUACUCAAUUACUUGACUAAUUUUAUAACACUUUUUAGGUGACUAAUGAGUAAAUCUAUAUAUCUAGAGGGAACAACAAAUUUGCGAGUUUAAUAAUGUCAUAGACAGAACAAGAUAUGGUUAGAUGAAACGGCAAUUUGCUCGUGGAUCCAAUAUAUAACUCAUAUUAGUGAAAAGCUGACUGUGCCACGUGCGCUUAGGCAAGUGGCUCUAUUGGGAUUAGGAUCCUAGCCCGAUCAUUUUGUAGAGAUUCGGAUGAUCAAUCAAUUGUGUUUAUUCAUCGUACAUCGUGUAAUAAUAAAAUAUUUUAAAUUUUUUAUUUAAAAUUAAAUACAAACAAUAUUUAAUGAAACUGACCGCACAAUAUACGAUGAAUGAGCAUGAUUAAUUGAUCAUCUAGAUUUUCACAAAAAGAAUAUGAAGAGGAUCCUCAUCCCUCUUAUUUACCUUGUACUAGUCAGAAAAUCCGAGUCUAUUGGAAAUUGAGUUAUUUACUUGAAAAAAGAAGAAUGAAUUGAUUUAAUUUUUUUUUUUUUUUUUUUGUCAUUAGUUAAAUUUGGGGGUGGGGGGAUUCGAACCUUGGAUGAGGUGGGAGUUUUCUUGGCUCUAGUGCCACUGCACUAGGCCUCCAUCCUCGAUUUAAUUUUUAUUGACAUGCAUACUUUAUGGGGUCAAUAGUGAUGGAUGUACCGGUCAAUGGUAAGAGUCCACUUUACUUGGACAUCUUUGCUUUAUCCCUUGCUGGUCAAUGGUAAGAGUCCACUUUUUUUUUUAAACCAGUAAGAGUCCACUUCACUUGGACAUCUUUGCUUUGAGUGGAAGACCUUGAAUCGUUCGAUUUAUAAAGACUGGAUCGAAACCUCAUGGAAAGUUUGAAAAGAAUUACGAUCUAGGCAAAAAAAAAAAAAAAAAAAAAAAGAGUGAGAGAGAGAAAAAAAUUUACACUCAAGGCACAAUGGGUUGAAGAAGAAGACCUUAUUACUAAAACAAUCCAACACUUGCCAAUAGUUUUCUUUUUAGUAGUUUAUUUAUUUCCUCAUAUAAAUCAAUGUGUAAUCACCAUUAUCUUAUUUGAUUUUGAUUGAGGUAUGUAUUAAACUUGAGACGUAUUUCGACAUUCUAGAAGAGAUAUGACUAGACCAAUCUCUCUAGUUGGUAACGUCACUCAUCCUAAAGUGAUUGUUGUUCAAGAAAAAGUGAAUUUUCACUAAUAAUUCAUCAUUCCAAUAUCCACAUCGUGCAAUUAUCGCCCUCAAUAUGUAAAAGUACUCGGAAAAAAAAGAAAGAAGAAGAAUGCUACAAAAACAUAUCAAUUUGAAUGGGAAACUGAGUCUUCCCGGCCCUAGGAAGGGGUGGAUAAUCGUGGCUUGCCACUAGUUGUUUUUUUUUUUUUAAAGAAUGGGAAACUGAGAACCUAGAAACUUUGAAGGAUCAUAACUAAGCAAGCAUGGCAACAAUAUGUCUAUCGAAGCUAGUUAAGAACUGUGGUGUAAGAACUUGAGGAAAGAUUUUUGCAUAAAAGUUUUAUGGAAAAGUAAUGCAUAUGGCCAGGCCAGACAUUGGUUUCAAGUGAAAAACCAAGCAAUCCAACAAACCUCGAAUGUAAUUACGUAGUCGGACAAACACCUCGAGCUAUCGAGCACAUAUGGUACUUAGGUACAAUGGUUACACUUCUCAGGAGUCCUUAUUAACAUACAUAAGUGUGUGCGCACAUAACUAUCUAUAUAUCUAAGUAGAUAUGUUACUCUAAUUCAGCAAUAGCUUCUAACUGAAUGUUUAGAUUUCUUGCAGGUGUAGUUGCAUUUGUUCGUGCAGGACCUGUAGAUGCAAAAGGAUUGGGAGGCAUGGUUAAGUUUUCUCCUCCUUCCAGCAUUUGAACAACUUCUUUCAUGGAAGGACGACCCGCUGGAUGCCACUGGAUGCACCAGAGCCCUACAAUUGCGAGUUUCUUUGGAGUUUUACCAUCUCCUUCCUCCCCAAGAUGGAUUCGUAGGUCGUCUCCUUCUUCUAGGAGAUUAUAGAUCCAUUCUGGAUAGUAAAUUUCAGUUGGGAUUGCUGAGGUUGAAUCAAUAUUCUUCCUUCCCCCUACCAUCUCAAGCAGCAGCAUUCCAAAACUAUAGACGUCCGACUUAUAGGACACAUUUCCAAAGUUCCUGGAGAACACUUCAGGUGCAAUGUAGCCCAUAGUCCCUCUAGCUGUAGUCAUGGACACUAUGCUUUGAUCCUUAGAACACAACUUGGCCAAACCAAAAUCAGAAAUUUUUGGAGUGAAAUUGUCGUCUAAUAAAACAUUAUGAGGCUUGAUGUCGAAAUGGAGGAUUCGUUGCUCACAUUCCUGAUGAAGAUAAUAAAUUCCCUUGGCUACAGCAAGAGCAAUAUCUUGCAACUUGUCCCAACCAAGGAAACGAUUGUUAUUGUCUGCCGAUGAAAUGAAAUCGUGCAGUGAACCAUUGGCGAAGAACUCAUAAACGAGAGCUCUGUUAAACCCAUCAGCACAGAAACCAACCAAACGAACCACGUUGACAUGGUGGAUACUUCCCAUCAUUCCAACUUCCCUUAUGAAAUCUUCCCCAUUUCCGUUGGAACUAUUGAGAACUUUUACAGCAACAAAGCAUUCAGAAGAAAGUUUUCCUUUGAAAACAGUUCCAUAGGCUCCUUGGCCUAACUUGUCCUGGAAUUGGUUUGUGAUCCUCUUAAUAUCUGCAUAGGAAUACCUGCUUGGUUUCUGAGCGUUGUAAUCUUCUAAAAACUUUUCAAUCUUCAAUUGACUCUCCUUUUCUUUUCGAUUAGACCUAUAGACACGAUAGGCUGCAACGACCAGCAGAAGUAAUACAACAAAUGAUCCCAGGGUUGUACCUGAAUCAAACAAAUCCUUGAGUAAAUAAUAAUAUUCCCGACGGUCUAGCUAGACAUGAAAUAAAAUAAAAAACCGUCAGACUACUCACCACCUACGGCGGCAAAUUUCCAUGUUACACCUGAAAAAAGCAUUGACAAAUUUAGUAAUAGUGAUGAUCUACUGCUCGGGCAAAUUUAGUAAUAGAAGAAAACAAAUUACUCUUUGCCUAUUCAUUUGAAAUUCAUAUCAAAUGCGUUGCAUCUAGUUGUUUGAAAUAUGUUCAGUCGGAUGCUUACUAGAUAAGUAAGCAGCAAGUGCAAUAAUAUAGCAGAAUAUAUGUAAAAUAAAACCAAGAUUGAAAAUGUAGGCAGACUUACUAGGUUUGCUCAAGCGAACACAUUGAAUUUCAGUGUUGGUGUGGUUGUACUUGAUUCUACACUUGUUGCCCUCUGCCUCACACUCUCUACAAUUUGGUUUCUUCCAUUUCAAAUUAGGAACCUCACUAUAAUAAUAGUACAUCUGUGGAAUCGACAAAACAUCGUACAUCUUUGUACACGACUCUAGGAGCGGAUAGUACAUAGUUUCGUAGGAAGAUUCAAUGGCAUAAACUCUGUAGCCAGGGCCACUAAUGCAGGGGACUUUAGCACCGUCUAACUCUCUUUCAACAGGACAGUGGAAUAAGGUAGCGUUGGAAGGCAUGGAUUCUUGGAAGUAGAAUUGAGAGGCUGGCAAUGACAUGUUGAUGUUAUCAACUUCUAAAGGCUUUAACAGCAGGCAUUUACGCGGGUGAUAGACUUGGACUUCCUGAUGCUUGUAAUCUAUGCGCUUCACCAAGAAUUUCACCACUACCGCUCGGUGCUCCUGUCCGUAGUCAGCCUCAUUCGCAUGGCAAUCAGAUGUCGGACUACAGGGAUGUCCACGGCGAAACAGAAUAUGGAUGGCCUCGCCAUGAUCCCCGCAUUUGGAUUUUUCACAAGCAGAGGCAUUCUGGGUUGUUCCGAGCAAUGUUAACAAAGUAAUUGAGAAUAUGCGAACCCAAGAGAUAUUGAGCUGUUGCUGCUGCAUUUCUGAGGUAUUUUUUUUCCAAGGAGAAGAACAAAUAUAUGUUAAUAGUUUAACACAAAGACUUUGUAGAGUUCCUGACCAUAAAAUGCAAUUGAUCUACGGGUUAACCCCAAAGACCACGUCACGGAAGCCUAGAAAGUAUUUACUGUUUUGGUCAAUACUUAAUUCCACAGCGGAAAGAGAGAGCCAUUCCUCUUUACCUGCCACUUUCAAUCUAUACAACAACAACAACAAAGCCUUUUCCCACUAAGUGGGGUCGGCUAUAUGAAUCCUAGAACACCAUUGCGCUCGGUUUUGUGUCAUGUCCUUCGUUAGAUCCAAGUACUCUAAGUCUUUUCUUAGAGUCUCUUCCAAAGUUUUCCUAGGUCUUCCUCUACCCCUUCGGCCCUGAACCUCUGUCCCGUAGUCACACCUUCGAACCGAAGCGUCAGUCGGCCUUCUUUGCACAUGUCCAAAUCACCGGAGCCGAUUUUCUCUCAUCUUUCCUACAAUUUCGGCUACUCCUACUUUACCUCGGGUAUCCUCAUUCCCAAUCUUAUCCUUUCUCGUGUGCCCACACAUCCCACGAAGCAUCCUCAUCUCCGCUACACCCAUUUUGUGUACGUGUUGAUGCUUCACCGCCCAACAUUCUGUGCCAUAAAACAUCGCUGGCCUUAUUGCCGUCCUAUAAAAAUUUCUCUUGAGCUUCAGUGGCCUACGACGGUCACACAACACGCCGGAUGCACUCUUACACUUCAUCCAUCCAGCUCGUAUUCUAUGGUUGAGAUCUCCAUCUAAUUCUCCGUUCUCUUGCAAGAUAGAUCCUAGGUAGCGAAAACGGUCGCUUUUUGUGAUCUUCGCUAGAUUGCUCCGGUCAUUAGUGUGGAUAAGUAUAUAAAUGGAUAAAGAUAAGAAAGCAAACACAAGAUGUACGUGGUUCACCCAGAUUGGCUACGUCCACGGAAUAGAAGAGUUCUCAUUAAUUGUGAAGGGUUUACACAAGUACAUAGGUUCAAGCUCUCCUUUAGUGAGUACAAGUGAAUGAUUUAGUACAAAUGACAUUCGGAAAUAUUGUGGGAGAAUGAUCUCGUAACAUCUUCUCUGGAAGUACUCUUCCUCCAUCCAGGGGUGGUAUCUUUAACUGGUGGAGAUGCACAAGGUAAUGUAUCAAUUGCACUUGAAGCUUACUUGUAGUUUCAGGCUUGGUCAAGCGCGAUACAAACCAUGUAGUAGGAGUCCCCCAAGUCGCCGAGCUAGGGGGUCUGCUGAAAGAGGUGACAGACAAGGUAAGCAAUCAGAGCUCCGACUGAUUGUUCACCUUCUCCCCAUCUUGCAGCAGCAUGAAGGAUAAAGAGAAGAAAAAUGAGAAGAGAUGAUAUGAGAUACUUUUGCUUUUGAAGAAGUAACUUUCCACAGGCUUAUUCUUGAACUGAGCUGGAGGGUUUUUUGGUUUCCUCCAGAGUAUAAGGCCGACUGAAGAAUUUGAGGGUCAAAACAAGUCCAUCAAAUCUAGAGUACGUUCCACCCUGCUGAUAUGGGAUACUUUUGCUUUUGACAGAGUAAUGGAUGUAUCGGCACGUGUGCUGUUACGCUUGUCUCCACAUGCUUCCUUGUAUCCUUCGCACUUGCCCUAUCUGUUCCUCAAGCAGAUGCGGAAUCUUCCCUGGAAACAUAACAUGUUGAAGAUGAGUACUCGAGAGCAAUGCCAGGUAAGUAAUCAGGUAAGGGGUUCCAGGCAGUCAGUUCCUGGCUGGAAGCUUGAUUCCAAGUGCUGACUGAUUGCUCUCUUUCUCCUUGUCUUGCAGGUAAAAACAAGGUCAAAGGAAAAGACAGGGAAAAAGCAUGAUAUGGGAUACUCUUGCUUUUAACCCUGAUGAUAUGAGAUAUUCUUGCUCUAGUAUAGCUUGUUUGCAGAGGUAUUAUCGGGGGAAAGAAAAAGCUGAAUAUUUCGAAAGGCUUCGUUGGGAGUGCCCUCUCAGAUAUGAUGAAGGGUUGAGCAUUUUUGCAGGUCUGCCUGUCCGUUGGGGAUGGAAGUCGACAUAUAUAGGAGUCUCCCUAACAACAAGUAGUAAUGCUAUUCCUUUACCCUGCUUGGUCAUAGCACGGUAGUGGGAGCUGCUAGUUUCACAUGUUUUAACUCUGUCAGAGCACUUUGAAAAAGUGGCCUGUGGUAUCUGGCUCUCGAGAUUCGGAAAACGAUGCCUCUUCGAUUUUUGAGAAAGCAAUCAUGCUGGGGGUCUGGCUCUCGAGAUUCGGAGAGCAGUGUCUCUUCGAUUUUUGAGGAAGUAAUCAUGUUGGGAGUCUGGCUCUUGAGAUUCGGAGGGCGGUGCCUCUUCGAUUUUGGAGCAAGCAAUCCUGUUGGGAGUGUUGUCUCGAAUGUGAGUAAAGGUUGGGCAUGUUUGCUAGUCUACCUUGCCACGAAGCACAAAGGUUGACACACAGGGACUUUCCAAUUAUCCAGCAAUGGUACUGUUCCUUUACCCUCUCUUCGCUUUUGAGAAAGUAGUCAUGUUGGGAGUCUGGCUCUCGAGAUUCGGAGGACAGUGCCUCUUCGAUUUUGGAGCAAGCAAUCUUAUUGGGAGUGUUUUCUCGAAUGUGAGUAAAGGUUGGGCAUGUUUGCUAGUCUACCUUGCCACGAAGCACAGAGGUUGACACACAGGAACUUUCCAAUUAUCCAGCAGUGGUACUGUUCCUUUACCCUUAUGGGUAAUAAUAUGGUAGCUAGACCUUCAAAAUUUAUGUGUCUAAACUUUGUUAGUGCUGUUUCUUUGCUAUUCUUUUACCUUUCUUGGUCAGAGCGAUGUAGUGGGAGCUGCAAGCUUCACGUGCUCAACUUUGGCAGAGAACUUUGGCAAAGUUAUCUGUGGUACCCAUGAGCUAUUGUUGCGUGUGACAGGUGCUGACAAGGCUAGAAAAGUAGGUGCAUCUUCGAUUUCUGAGAUCGGCCCUCGUGGUCUCUGAGCAGCCCAGCUUUUGAGAAAGCGAGCGCCUCUUCGAUUGAUUCGGAGAACGAUGCCUCAUCGAUUUUUGAGAAAGCAAUCAUGCUGGGGUCUGGCUCUCGAAGAUUCGGGAAGCAGUGUCUCUUCGAUUUUUGAGAAAGUAAUCAUGUUGGGAGUCUGGCUCUCGAGAUUCGGAGGGCGGUGCCUCUUCGAUUUUAGAGCAAGCAAUCUUGUUGGGAGUGUUUUCUCGAAUGUGAGUAAAGGUUGGGCAUGUUUGCUAGUCUACCUUGCCACGAAGCACAGAGGUUGACACACAGGGACUUUCCAAUUAUCCAGCAAUGGUACUAUUCCUUUACCCUCUCUUCGAUUUUUAAGAAAGUAGUCAUGUUGGGAGUCUGGCUCUCGAGAUUUGGAGGACGGUGCCUCUUCGAUUUUGGAGCAAGCAAUCUUAUUGGGAGUGUUUUCUCGAAUGUGAGUAAAGGUUGGGCAUGUUUGCUAGUCUACCUUGCCACGAAGCACAGAGGUUGACACACAGGGACUUUCCAAUUAUCCAGCAGUGGUAUUGUUCCUUUACCCUUGUGGGUAAUAAUAUGGUAGCUAGACCUUCAAAAUUUAUGGGUCUAAACUUUGUUAGUGCUGUUUCUUUGCUAUUCUUUUACCCUUCUUGGUCAGAGCGAUGUAGUGGGAGCUGCAAGCUUCACGUGCUCAACUUUGGCAGAGAAACUUUGGCAAAGUUAUCUGUGGUACCCGUGAGCUAUUGUUGCGUGUGGGAAGUGGGUGAUUGAACAGUAAGAUUCAUGUGUUUUCUACUUCCCCAGAAGUCUUCGACAGAAUGCCCAUAAUUUCCGCAAAGCUGAGUGUGCGUGUGACAGGUGCUGACAAGGCUGGAAAAGUAGGUGCCUCUUCGAUUUCUGAGAUCGGCCCUCGUGGUCUCUGGGGAGCCCAGCUUUUGAGAAAGCGAGCGCCUCUUCGAUUUCUGAGAUCGGCCUUCGUGGUCUUUGAGCAGCCCAACUUUUGAGAAAGCAAACGCCUCUUCGAUUUCUGAGAUCAACCCUCGUGAUCUCUAAGCAGCCCAACUUUUGAGAAAGCAAACGCCUCUUCGAUUUCUGAGCAGGCGCCUCUUUCGAUUUCUGAAGCUCCGUCGAGUGCAGAUUUUUAUAGGGGCUGGCAUUAAGUUCCAAAGCACACUUGAAUCUCCACCAGUAGAAGCUUCCUUCUUGCACUUCUAAGAUCUUGAUUUGUCCGACCUCUUCUCUCUUCAACACCUUUGAAAAUGUCUGGCCCCUCCGAUCGUCGUUUUGACUUGAACCUUGUUGAAGAGGCAGCCCCGCCUUCUCCAGACAACAUAUGGCGCCCAUCCUUCGUCUCCCCUACUGGUCCUCUUACCGUUGGGGAUUCUGUGAUGAAGAAUGAUAUGACCGCUGCGGUGGUGGCCAGGAACCUUCUCACUCCCAAAGAUAACAGACUACUUUCCAAACGGUCUGAUGAGUUAGCAGUUAAGGAUUCGCUGGCUCUCAGUGUUCAGUGUGCAGGUUCUGUGUCUAAUAUGGCCCAACGCCUAUUUGCUCGAACCCGCCAAGUUGAAUCAUUGGCGGCUGAAGUGAUGAGUCUCAAACAGGAGAUUAGGGGGCUCAAGCAUGAGAAUAAACAGUUGCACCGGCUCGCACAUGACUAUGCUACAAACAUGAAGAGGAAGCUUGACCAGAUGAAGGAAACUGAUGGUCAGGUUUUACUUGAUCAUCAGAGAUUUGUGGGUUUGUUCCAAAGGCAUUUAUUGCCUUCGUCUUCUGGGGCUGUACCGCAUAAUGAAGCUCCGAAUGAUCAACCUCUGAUGCCUCCUCCUUCUAGGGUUCUGUCCAGUACUGAGGCUCCAAAUGAUCCCCCUCCGGUGCCUUCUCUUUCUGGGGCUCUACCGACUGCUGAGACUUCUCCUAAGCAACCUUUGUGAAGGCUCCCUCUUGUGUGUUUAUUUUGACUCAUGCAUAUGUACAUAUUUGUAGCUUAUCGAGGAUAUCAAAAUAAGCUUUCCUUCAUUUCAACGUAUUGUGUUAAAUACACCAAAGCCUUCUUCUCUAAGUUCUUUGAAUUUUCUUUUGUUGAAGCUUGUAUGUUGAAGCUUUCUGAGUGGAGCAUGUAGGUUGGGGUAGUGUUCCCUUAAUUUCCCGAGUGAGGAAAACUUCUCGGUUGGAGACUUGGAAAAUCCAAGUCACUGAGUGGGAUCGGCUAUAUGAAUCUUAGAACGCCAUUGUGCUCGAUCCUGUGUCAUGUCCUUCGUUAGAUCCAAGUACUCUAAGUCUUUUCUUAGAGUCUCUUCCAAAGUUUUCCUAGGUCUUCCUCUACCCCUUCGGCCCUGAACCUCUCUGUCCCAUAGUCGCAUCUUCUAAUCGGAGCGUCAGUAGGCCUUCUUUGCACAUGUCCAAACCACCGUAACCGAUUUUCUCUCAUCUUUCCUUCAAUUUCGGCUACUCCUACUUUACCCCGGAUAUCCUCAUUCCUAAUCUUAUCCUUUCUCGUGUGCCCACACAUCCAACGAAGCAUCCUCAUCUCCCGCUACACCCAUUUUGUGUACGUGUUGAUGUUUCACCGCCCAACAUUCUGUGCCAUACAGCAUCGCCGGCCUUAUUGCCGUCCUAUAAAAUUUUCCCUUGAGCUUCAGUGGCAUACGGCGGUCACACAACACGCCGGAUGCACUCUUCCACUUCAUCCAUCCAGCUUGUAUUCUAUGGUUGAGAUCUCCAUCUAAUUCUCCGUUCUUUUGCAAGAUAGAUCCUAGGUAACGAAAACGGUCGCUCUUUGGUAUUUCUUGAUCUCCGAUCCUCACCCCUAACUCGUUUUGGCCUCCAUUUGCACUGAACUUGCACUCCAUAUAUUCUGUCUUUGAUCGGCUUAGGCGAAGACCUUUAGAUUCCAACACUUCUCUCCAAAGGUUAAGCUUUGCAUUUACCCCUUCCUGAGUUUCAUCUAUCAACACUAUAUCGUCUGCGAAAAGCAUACACCAAGGAAUAUCAUCUUGAAUAUGUCAUGUUAACUCAUCCAUUACCAACGCAAAAAGGUAAGGACUUAAGGAUGAGCCUUCAUGUAAUCCUACAGUUAUGGGAAAGCUUUCGGUUUGUCCUUUAUGAGUUCUUACGGCAGUCUUUGCUCCUUCAUACAUAUCCUUUAUAGCUUGGAUAUAUGCUACUCGUACUCCUUUCUUCUCUAAAAUCCUCCAAAUAAUGUCUCUUGGGACCCUAUCAUACGCUUUUUCCAAAUCUAUAAAGACCAUGUGUAAAUCCUUUUUCCCAUCUCUAUAUCUUUCCAUCAAUCUUCGUAAGAGAUAGAUUGCCUCCAUGGUUGAGCGCCCUGGCAUGAACCCGAAUUGGUUGUCCGAAACCCGUGUCUCUUGCCUCAAUCUAUGCUCAAUGACUCUCUCCCAGAGCUUCAUUGUAUGACUCAUUAACUUAAUACCCCUAUAGUUCAUGCAAUUUUGUACGUCGCCCUUAUUCUUGUAGAUAGGCACCAAAGUGCUCGUUCGCCACUCAUUUGGCAUCUUCUUCGUUUUCAAAAUCCUAUUGAAAAGGUCAGUGAGCCAUGUUAUACCUGUCUCUCCCAAAAGUUUUCCACACUUCGAUUGGUAUAUUGUCUGGGCCUAUUGCUUUUUUAUGCUUCAUCUUCUUCAAAGCUACAACCACUUCUUCCUUUCGGAUUCGACGAUAAAAAGAGUAGUUUCUACACUCUUCUGAGUUACUCAACUCCCCUAAAGAAGCACUCAUUUCAUGUCCUUCAUUGAAAAGAUUAUGAAAAUAACCUCUCUCCAUCUGUCUUUAAUCGCGUUCUCUGUAGCAAGAACCUUUCCAUCCUCAUCCUUGAUGCACCUCACUUGGUUUAGGUCCCUUGUCUUCUUUUCCCUUGCUCUAGAUAGUUUAUAGAUAUCCAACUCUCCUUCUUUGGUAUCUACUCGUUUAUACAUAUCGUCGUAAGCCGCUAACUUAGCUUCUCUGACAGCUUUCUUCGCCUCUUGCUUUCGUUUUUCUAUACCUUUCACCAUUUUCAUCGGUCCUCUCCUUGUAUAAGGCUUUACAACAUUCCUUCUUAGCCUUCACCUUUGUUUGUACCUCCUCAUUCCACCACCAAGAUUCCUUUUGGUGUGGGGCAAAGCCCUUGGACUCUCCUAAUACCUCUUUUGCUACUUUUUCGGAUACAACUAGCCAUGGAAUCCCACAUUUGGCUAGCUUCCCCCUCUCUAUCCCACACACAUUGGGUGAUUACCUUCUCUUUGAAAAUGACUUGUUUUUCUUCUUUUAGAUUCCACCAUCUAGUCCUUGGGCACUUCCAAGUCUUGUUCUUUUGUCUUACUCUUUUGAUAUGUACAUCCAUCACCAACAAGCGAUGUUGAUUAGCCACGCUCUCUCCUGGUAUAACUUUGCAAUCCUUACAAGUUAUACGAUCCCCUUUCCUCAUUAGAAGAAAAUCUAUUUGUGUUUUUGACGACCCACUCUUGUAGGUGAUCACAUGUUCUUCUCUCUUCUUAAAGAAGGUGUUGGCUAAGAAGAGAUCAUAUGCCAUUGCAAAAUCCAAGAUAGCUUCCCCAUCCUCGUUUCUCUCCCCAAAACCAUGGCCACCAUGAAAACCUCCAUAGUUGCCUGUCUCCCUGCCCACGUGUCCAUUUAAAUCUCCUCCUAUAAAUAACUUCUCCGUCUGAGCAAUUCCUUGCACCAAGUCUCCAAGAUCUUCCCAAAAUUUCUCCUUCGAACUCGUAUCCAACCCUACUUGAGGUGCGUACGCACUAAUCACAUUGAUAAGUUCUUGUCCUAUUACAAUCUUGAUUGCCAUGAUUCUAUCUCCUACCCUCUUGACAUCUACAACAUGUUGUACCAAGGUCUUGUUCACGAUGAUGCCAACACCGUUUCUCGUUCUAUUUGUGCCCGAAUACCAAAGUUUAAACCCUGAGUUUUCUAGAUCCUUUGCCUUACUACCAACCCACUUAGUUUUCUUGUAGGCACAUAUAAUAUUUAUCCUUCUCCUCACCAUAACUUUCACUACUUCCAUAGAUUUUCCCGUUAAGGUUCCUAUAUUCCACGUUCCUAAACGCAUUUUGCUCUCUUGAACUCUACCCUUCUGUCCUAGCUUCUUCAUCCUCCCCCUAAUAGGAUCAAGGUACAACUUCUUUUUGUGUGUCCCGGGUAAAGUUGAUAGGAGCAUAUGCUCCCAAACAACUUUGAGUGGAGUCGUUCGAAAAAGAAGUUUCUAUGGCCCCUUGCUCAUUUAACACUGCAUCCGGGUGCCGAUGGAGAUGCCGAUGAGCGACCUACAGCUUGACCCUCUCACUUAUCACUGUGCUCGGGCCACACAGCGCGCCACUUACGGGUGACGCCCUAGCUUUAGCGCGAUUUUGUUCUGGAUUCAUUUUCAUAAGGAUUCGACGUGAUCAUGGAGUGCCGGCUGUCGACUACCUGACGCCCUCCCCCUCCUCCUUUAUCCGGGCUUGGGACCGGCCAUGUAAGACAUGGGCGGAGUUACUUUCAAUCUAUACAUGUGUAAAAUCUUUUCUUGUGCUUAUAUAAAUUUUUUGUAUUGUAACGCGCUUUCUGUGUCAAACGUCGCCGAUAUUUUUCUCCAUGGGAAUGAGUGGAAGGUCCUCCUCCUCCUCCUCGAUGCGGUUUUUAAUUGCAGCUUUUAUUGUUUUUAGCUUAUCCCCUCAAACGAUUUGUAACGCCACCCAGCUAAAGUGUACCUCUUCCUGCGGCCAUAUCCGCAAUAUAAGCUACCCUUUUUGCGGCAACUCAGGAUACACUCUGUCUUGUGAGAGCAACAAAACCAUACUAAACAUACCUUCAUCUGGCGAUUACUACGUACAGGCAAUCAACUACCAUAACCAAACAAUCCGACUUGUCGAUCCGGGCCUUGACAAGAGCAAUUGCUCCUCCCUUCCUCUUCAUUCUCUGUCUCUUCCUUAUGAGUAUUUCCAAAUUCCGACGACACCUGGGAAUUGUACAGCAUCAUCAACAGAUUCAUCAGCGAUAUGUACGGAAAUUGGCACAACAAAUUUAACAUUUUUGAAGUGUCCGCGUCCAAUGAAUUCAUCUCUUUACGUGGACGCUGCUCCAUGUUUUCCUGUUGAAUCUGCUUCUACUUCAUCUUCGUCGAUGUCGUCAUCCCAACCAAAAUCGUAUGGCUAUGUCAAGAUUGGAUCUUUAGAGGUAGGGCAGAUGAAAGACGGUUGCAGCAUAGAGCGAACGACUUAUGCCUACUUGUUCGACGGCUACAACGCUUCUUAUAAAUCCAUACACAAUUCUCUGGUUUAUGGAUUUGAGCUUCAAUAUAUCCGAGAUGGUCCCUUUUCCUGCAGAAACCCAUGGUGGAAUUUCAAGUGGGAUUUCGAGUGUUAUCCGCACAGCGUUCGAGGUGAGUAGGGAAUAAAUCUCAAUUUUCUUUUUUACUUCAUUAUCAUCUUUUGUAGGAAAUUCAUUUCUAUAAAAUAAAUAAAAUUAAAAUUAAAAUUGCAGGGCCAUGGUCAUCCUUUGUAAAAAAUUAUUUUUAAAUAAAAAUGUCAGACCAAAUUCAUAUAUUAUCUUUAAUUGAAGAGGCUUCUUAAUAAUUUAUCAUUUUUAAACUUAUACUUUAAAUUUAUUGAUUAAUUUAAAUAAACUACUUGUUUUUUAAAUUUAGUCAUUGAAUUUGAAUCAAUUAUUACAACUAAGUAGUUGGCACCAAAAAAGGCUAAGAAGAGGGCUACAUUUGGCCAGUUUGUCAUUUUUAAGCUUGUGGACCAUUGGAGAUGGCCAAAUAUAUUAGACAAAGAAAUAACAAGUUUGAGCAAGUGACCAUUUACCACAGUAAUAAAAAUAUGUUGUGCUCUUACAUGAUAACAUGAGGUUCGAAUCAUGUCAAUGACAUAUAUAACCUUUACCUUACUAAUGUAAAAAAAAUAAAAAAAUAAAGUUUGAAAUUUUAAUUUAAAAUCAACUGGUGUGGGCCAAGUAUUUUACAUUUUUCCCUCUUUGUCACCGCAGGUUUUUUUCAAUUUCUAUGGGUGCUGAUUCAAUGUAAGAGAUCUAUCCAUGGGAGCUUAUAUGACAUUUAAUUUAUCCUCUAUUUCGAGAGUUCUUAUAUUCCUUUUGAAUUGGUUUGACCCUUGGCUUCUUCCACCCCUUCAUCUAGAGGUGCUACUUUCUAGAGAACGUGUCUUUUCAAUUUGAAUUGAGAUCCAAAUAUUCAGAACAUGUUGUGUAGUCUAAAAGCAUCUCUAAAGAGGUCAAAUCCAAAAUAUCAAAGUAUUUUAAAAAAAAUAUUUAAAUAUUUGAUGAAUUUUUAUAUAAAACUGUUGUGGUUAUGUUAAAUGAUUAAAAAUGAUAUAAUAUUAAUGUCAAAUUAUUUUUGUGGUACAUGUGAUAUGUCAUUUUCAAUGUGAUCUUUGUUGUGAAAAAACUAUUAAUUAAACUCCCGUGGUGAGCCCUAUUAACAAUUGAGGUCCAAAUCUAAAGUUCUGUUAGUCUUCCGUUAGAUAAAAUCAUGUGACUAUCAUAUGUGGAUCGGUCAAAAUUAAGUUUAUUUAUUUUGAAAAAUAAAAAGACAAAAACAUGAUUGAAUUAAAAUAAAAAAAAAUGUAAAGAUAGAAAAACCCAGUAGUUAGACACUAAAUUAUACUAAUUUCAGUAAACCCUAAAUUAUACUAAAUGUUCAUUGAAUAAGAUGUAAUUUGGUUUGAAAUGAUGAAUUUGACACUUCAUGUGAUAGUUAUGUGAGUUUAUUUAACAGAAGACUAACGAAAAUUUAGAUUUCGAUCUUAAUUGUUAACAAGGCCUACCACGAGGGCUUAAUUAAAAACUUUUUCAGCAAGAGGGUUACAUCGAAAGUGGUGUGUCAUCACAUGAUCACAAAAAUAUUUGGACUAAUAUUAAAUUAUUUAUUUAUUUAUUAUUUGUUUAUUUAUUUUAUUUAUUUAUAAUCUCUCCCACUUUCACUCUCUUUCCUCUCCCUCAUUUUCUCCGCCGCUAUUCCUCCCUCAUCUCAACUUCACUGGAUCUUCGAGAGCAACACCGUCGUCAGUGUUGGCAUGGCCACCGUCAACAUCUCCACCCACAACUUCGAGGCCGGCGCCUCCAUUCUCCACCCCAGGAACUUGCACGCUUUUGAACUACACCAAGCUCCUCAACUUCGCCGUCAAAAGCCCCUCCUCCUCCUCUUCUGCACUUCAAAUCAAAGCUUCCCUUUGCUGAUAAGAUUGUUUUGCUUUCCAAUUCACUCGUCAUGCUCUUCAGAUACGGCUUCUCCCUUGUCAGGAUGGACAAGGUUGUUGAGGUAUAAAAGUAAAUAAAUAAAAGGUUUGUUUAUUGAGUUUUAACUUAGGGUUUUGUUAUUGAAUUGGUAAAUUUCUUUGUGGUGCAGAUAAGAUUGUUUGGCAUCUUAUUAAUUUAUUGGGUGUUAAUUUGGUGAAGUCCUUGCCUAUGAGAAUCAUCAAUCCUGCUACUGAAGAAAUCAUGGUCCUUUUCUCACCCUAAGCAUUUCUGUCAAUUAAAUUAAUUUCUGGGUUGUUUUUUAAAUUUAAUUACUGUUUAAUCAUUGCAUUUGAUCGUGUGUAGGAUCUAGAAGGAGGAGAGGGAUAGUCGUUGGUGCAGUGGUGGUGGUCGGUGUUGAGCGGGAGUGGGAGGGACGGCGGCGGUCCUAGGGACAAGGACUCAUUUUGAAAAACUAACGAGGGUGUAGGAAAGUUUCAUUAAACAUGCACUGUUGCUCUGCAUGUUUUGGAAAAGGGCUAGAUUUUCAAAGCUAUGUUUUGCUGCUUGAGCUUUUAGUCUUUUUUUUCACCCUCAAUUUAAAAAAGCUGGUUUUAGAGUGUUUACCAAACACUAAAAAGACCCCAAUUUAUCUUCAUACCUGCAUUUUUUUUUUUAAUUUCAGCUGUACCAAACUGGUACUAAGAGCCACAGACUUUCUUUAAUUACACUAUAUUUUUGUUGCACCUUACAAGAGUGGUAUUUAAUCAAUCACAUAAACAUGUACCUAACAAAUAAUAUAGUGCAUCCUCUAUGGAUAUGAAAAACUGCAACAAAUUUCAAUGUUAAUCCAGGUGUGCGUAGGAGCGAUAUGUUUGUAACUACCUCCAGGGUAUAUGUAUGAUGGCUCAUCAGAAAUUUUUGAAUGAUGGCUUAUCAGAAAUUGGAAACCAAAAUAGCUCCCAUAAUUGAUUAGGGGCUAUAUCUAUGAUGGCUUAACAGAAAUUUUUAUCUAUAAUAAUGCUUUGCACUUCGAAAACUAGCUAGUUAUUUCUCAUUGAUUUUGUUAAUAUAUCUUCUUGUAUUUCUUGGGUAUUUAAUGUUCUUCACAAUAUUCACUUUACAAAGUUCAAGCUCUAGUCAAGUUUGAUUUACUCUUCGUUCUGUUCUAAACGCAGAUCUUCUACGGCCCGGGCUCGUACUCGAAUAUUUCGGUAAGAGCUUUGCUGAUAUAUAUGAUAUCCAAUAUUGAGCAUAUACAUUUUUUUUUUUUGGUAAAUAUUGAGCAUAUAUACUUUGAUUCAAGGCAACAAGUCAAUUUCUUUUCUCAUGAUGUUUUUUGUGAUUUACUCCAAUGUUCAGUACUAUCUGUCGGGGCAAAAUUUCUACUUGGGGCACCAUUCGUGACUGCGUUUUUGAUCUAUACAUGGAAAAGAAGACAUUUGUCAAUGUACAACUCCAUAGAAGAAUUUUUGCAUGGUGAAAAGACUUUAGUGCCAAUAAGGUACUCGUACUCGAACAUCAAGAAGAUGUCUAACAAAUUUAAAGAAAAACUUGGUGAAGGAGGGUAUGGAUCAGUUUUUAAAGCAAGGUUACGGAGUGGACGUUUUGGGGCAAUUAAGAUGUUGGAUAAGCCCAAAGGCAAUGGACAAGAUUUCAUCAGCGAGGUAAAUACGAUUGGGAGGAUUCACCAUGUUAAUGUGGUUCAGCUUGUUGGUUAUUGUGUUGAAGGAACAAAGCAUGCUUUGGUAUAUGACUUCAUGCUCAACGGAUCUCUUGAUAAAUACAUUUAUUGCAAAGAAGGAAGUAUCCCAUUAAGUUGCAAGACAACGUACGAGAUUGCACUUGGAGUGGCCCGAGGGAUCAAAUAUCUACAUGAAGGUUGUGACAUGCAAAUUUUACAUUUUGACAUCAAGCCUCACAAUAUUCUUCUUGACGAGAAUUUCGUACCAAAGAUUUCUGACUUUGGGCUGGCAAAAUUAUACCCGGUAGAUAAUAGUAUUGUGUCUCUAACAGCAGCAAGGGGUACAAUGGGAUACAUGGCUCCUGAGCUAUUCUACAAGAAUAUUGGCGGUGUUUCGUUUAAAGCGGAUGUUUAUAGUUUUGGAAUGUUGUUGAUGGAAAUGGCAAGCCGAAGGAAGAAUUUGAAUGCAUUGGCAGAGCAUUCAAGCCAACUUUACUUCCCGUCAUGGGUUUACAAUCAAUAUAAUGAAGGAAAAGACUUCGAGGUGGGAGAAGUUGUGGAGGAGGAAAAACCAUUAAUAAGAAAAAUGAUUAUAACCGCCUUGUGGUGUAUACAAUUGAAGCCAAGCGAUCGACCAUCAAUGAAGGAAGUCCUACAGAUGCUCGAGGGAGAUGUUGAAUUGCUUCGAAUGCCUCCGGAGCCUCUUCUAUAUCCACAAGAGAUGCCCGUAGGUGCUCCUAAUGAUAAUCCGAAUCCAUCAUAUUCCAAGGUGGAGUUAACAUCUUCUUUGACGGGUAGGUGAAGACACGCAACUAGCAUGGA